RNAcentral lists this small nucleolar RNA (164 nucleotides) under Erinaceus europaeus (western European hedgehog). Its description in RNAcentral is "Small nucleolar RNA SNORA33". It matches the Rfam family "Small nucleolar RNA SNORA33". Rfam says of the family: ACA33 is a member of the H/ACA class of snoRNA that guide the sites of modification of uridines to pseudouridines. Lineage: Eukaryota; Metazoa; Chordata; Mammalia; Eulipotyphla; Erinaceidae. The record is from Rfam by way of RNAcentral.
AAGCCAGUCAAUGAAUCUGCUUACCUGAUUGCGUUUCUGCAGAAAUUUUUUAUAAUUGGCAAUAGUAAUGCCAUGUUACGAGCCUUAAUGACGUUAGGGUCUUUAAGGUCCCUACUACUACUACUAGCGUUUGCCAUUUAAGGUCCCUGAAAGUGACUAUAUAA